GAGUUUUUUGGAUGAUUAGUGUGAUGGCAGCAGCUCUUUUGCCUGGGGUUAGGCUGCUCCAGAGAGAGAGGACACAGUUGUCAGAAUCACUCAGUGACUGGCACCCUGCCCCACUGUACACAACACUCCAGGAAUACUUGGCCAUGUGCAGGGUUCAGGUUGUGCACAUAACCUCCUCAGUGGCUGGGGCAGCCCCGUGGUUCUUAGGCUGCACCUAGACAUCUGGUUAUGGCUCAACCAAAAUGAGAUUCACUACUUGCAUUGGCUGGGUCUUGCCAUCUGGAGACAGAGGUGGCAUUGUGGACCAUGGUACCAUUCAGAGACUGGAGUGCAAAGGCGGCACCAGGGAGAGGAGUCUGACAUCCUGAGUCGGGCAGUGCAUUCCCUGGUCUGUCCCAAGUUUUGGAAGCCAUAAGACCCAAGAGACCCUGUGAGUGGCCUUUCUUUGUGUGCUCAUUGGUGUUUUUGGAGAAGGUGUCCCUUGGCACAACUGCCAUCAGCAGCCUGGCCUCACUUUUGCUAACUGGCCCCACUCUGUGCCCAUUGCUUUCUGUGCAUUUCGGUUUUGGUCCAGGAGUGUUUCUCAAACCUGGUCAUGUGACUUGAGGCACUAUUAAAAAUCAUCAAGCCCAGGAUUUGUCCCUACAGACUGAUUCUUCAAUGAGCCCCAAUGGUCAUUUUUGUUGUCUCACUGCUGGUUGUUGCCAUGAGCAGUAAGGGUGGAGACCUGGCUCAGUGCUGAAGUCUUUGUGGGGAAGACUCAUAAUAUGGACAAGAAGAUGUGACAGGCCAUGGAGGAGACUAACCACAUGGACAUGCGACAAGCAUGAGGACUUGAGACACACUCCCAGGUGGCCGGCCAUUUUCUCAGAGCAUCUGCAUGAUCUCAGUCCCAUGUGGGACUGGUGGUGAGUGGUCCUUCCAAGUCAGGGCCUGAGGUGCAUUCCUAGUGAUGAAUAAACAUUCUGAUGACAGGGUUGUUCUGUGGCAUGGGAGGGUGAAUGGUGGCUCUGGCGACGUUCAACAAGGGAAAAACAAGGGUAGAAUAUUGGUGGCCUCCAAUCUCCUGUUGGCCACACUUCAUCCCUGUGUGAGGACAUAGAAAAUGACAAGUUCAUCAGACAGUGCUCUAAUCUCUAGGGUAUACAAAGAACUCAAAAAGUUAAACACCAAGUACCAAAUAACCCAAUCAACAAAUGGGCCAAGGACCUGAACAGACACUUCUCAGAAGAGGAUAUACAAUCAAUCAACAAAUACACGAAAAAAUGCUCAACAUCUGUAGCAAUCAGAAAUGCAAAUUAAAACUACUCUAAGAUACCAUCUCACUCCAGUAAGAAUGGCAGUCAUUAGGAAUUCAAACAAGUGCUGUCGAGGAUGCGGGAAAAAGUACACUCAUACAUUGCUGGUGGGCCUGCAAAUUGGUGCAGCCAAUUUGGAAAGCAGUAUGGAGAUUCCUUGGAAAGUGGGAAUGGGACCACCAUUUGACCCAGCUAUUCCUCUUCUCAGACUAUUCCCAAAAGACCUAAAAACAGCAUACUACAGGGACACAGCUACAUCAAUGUUUACAGCAGCACAAUUCAUAAUAGCUAGACUGUGGAGCCAACCUAAAUGCCCUUCAAUAGAUGAAUGGAUAAAGAAAAUGUGGCAUUUAUACACAAUGGAAUAUUACUCAGAAAUAAAAAAAUGACAAGAUCAUGGCAUUCACAGGGAAAUGGAUGGCCUUAAAGCAGAUUAGAAAUGC
RNAcentral lists this long non-coding RNA (1741 nucleotides) under Marmota monax (woodchuck). Lineage: Eukaryota; Metazoa; Chordata; Mammalia; Rodentia; Sciuridae. The record is from RNAcentral.